GAUAUAAGCAUAAGACACCCAAGCCAGAAACAGCAACGCUUCUGGGUCCCCUUCCACCACGCAGAAGCUUUACUUUCGCUUUCACUUUAACAAAUGUUGCAGCUGCACACUCUUUGGGUCCGCCCGUUUCUCUAAUCAAGCUGUAACACUCACUGCUGUGGUCCACAGCUUCAUUCCUUGAAGCCCGUGAGACACGAACGCUUCGACUGAGAGAAACCCAUCAGAAGAAGACUUCUCGUCUCAACGGGACUGCUGAGUUGAAUGGUGCUUUUUUUUCUGAAGCUUUGGUAGUGUAACGGUAAGAGUCCUGGAAUUGGAAAAGCAAAUCCAGAAGUUGAGUUCCAUGACUUUUUUGCUGUUUGCCUUUGGACUUGCAUCGUUUAUAUUUUUAAUUCAUCGAGGAUGAGAAAAUUGAUUAACACAAAAUCUUUUCAUGUCUUUUCUGAUGAGAGACUAGUUGAAUCCAAGAAGAGAAGCCCUUGAAGAGUGUAUUCUAUUCUAGACAAGCAUUCACACAUUGGCUUCUUUGGUGCCAGAUUAAAGAAUGAAGAAAGGAUCAAAUUGAGACAUCCAGGGGGGAAGAGUUCCCUGGCAAAACUCCAAUCUGCCUGAGCACUGAGGUGGAGCCACAGAAGUCCGGGUCAUUUGCACCUGGGAGGAGCCUGGCCCCUCCUCUUCCUGUUCCUGUGUGGAAUCUGGGAUUUAAUCUGUGAGGAUGGAAGGCCAAGGGCAGGAAGCACAGGCUCUCACUUCACUAAGAGUCUCUGUUUCCCCAUUUUUUCCUUUAUGCCUAAUAAAUCCCAUUUUUCUCACUCUUCAAAUAGUCUUCAAGCCUAAAUUUUCAUGACCAUGGAACAAGGACCCCAUCUUUAGCUGAACUAAGGAAAAGUCCUGCAACAAAAUUCUUUGCUAAAAAUACAUGAGGUUGCCUUUUCCUUCUUACUCUUAAAAGAAAUAUAUUUCAAUGGUUAACGUUUUAGUAAUUCGAAAAUUAUCAAGCAUUUGUUCACAACCAUAAGAUGUGCAUUGUUUUAUAUUCCUACUUAAUAAUAGACUAUAAUUGUCUGAUUAGACUGCCGGUGUUGAUCUUUGUCGCUCAUUGCAUUGAUUAUAAGCAGUGUUUUGGGUUUGUGUGUGUGUGUCAAAUUUAGGGUUUUUUGGUGUGGCUGCUGGUAGCCUGUAUCCAGUAUCCUGUAUUAAUUCUAAUAUUUGCAUUUUGAACAUAUUUACAAGUUGCUAAAAUAGCAAAGCUUCAAGAUGAGCCUGGCUGAUAUGGCAAAACCCCGUCUCUACUAAAAAUACAAAAAUUAGCCUGGUGUGGUGGUGCAUGCCUGUAAUCCCAGCUACUUGGAAGUCUGAGGCAGGAGAAUCUCUUGAACCCAGAAGGUGGAGGUUGCAGUGGGCCAAGAUCGCACCACUGCACUCCAGCCUCGGUGAUAGAGCGAGACUACGUCUCAAAAAUAAAAUAAAAUAAAAAUAGCAAAGCUA
Long non-coding RNA from Pan troglodytes (chimpanzee), 1488 nucleotides. RefSeq lists it as uncharacterized. The record is from RefSeq and is a predicted model, not a curated record. NCBI's taxonomy places the organism in Eukaryota, Metazoa, Chordata, Mammalia, Primates, Hominidae. The transcript has 4 exons.